GGCUCUCAGAGUCCUUCUCAAUAUGCAAAGUGAACUUCCUGACAGUCUGCUAUUAAGACGUGAAAUCAUGGCCCUGGUUACAGAAGAAGAUGAGAUGUUCUAAUCAGAUCAACUUCAGUACCAACAUGUUCUCUUUAGCUCUGCUGCUGCUGGCUGCUGGAUCCUGUGUAAAGUGUGAACAGCUGACCCAGCCAGCCUCUGUGACUGUGCAUCCAGGGGAUCGUCUGACCAUCACCUGUCAGACCUCUUAUUCUCUUAGCAGCGCUCGAACAUUUUGGAUCAGACAACCUGCAGGAAAAGAACUGGAGUGCAUUGGUAGUGUACAUGUUGGACACAGCACACGGUACAAAGACUCACUACAGAACAAGUUUAGUAUCGACAUAGACUCCUCCAACAGGACCGUGACUCUGAUUGGACAGAAUGUGCAGCCUGAAGACUCAGCUGUGUAUUACUGUGCCAGAGAACCACCCACAGUAACACAAAGCAUCAUGAGACCUGAACAAAAACCCCUCAGUGACUGAACACACGAAGCCACAAGAGGGUGAUCCCUCAGAGCACCAAUGAUUUCAGAUCAGCACAAUAAGAAGAAAUAAGAUGUCACUUAAAAAGCAACAGCAUGUAAUUAAAUGAGUCAUAAUAAGUUUAAUAUAAUAACCAUAAA
Non-coding RNA from Pundamilia nyererei, 661 nucleotides. Lineage: Eukaryota; Metazoa; Chordata; Actinopteri; Cichliformes; Cichlidae. The record is from the annotation of a RefSeq genome assembly.